UGGGGAAUUUUGGACAAUGGGCGAAAGCCUGAUCCAGCAAUGCCGCGUGUGUGAAGAAGGCCUUCGGGUUGUAAAGCACUUUUGUCCGGAAAGAAAUCCUUGGCUCUAAUACAGUCGGGGGAUGACGGUACCGGAAGAAUAAGCACCGGCUAACUACGUGCCAGCAGCCGCGGUAAUACGUAGGGUGCAAGCGUUAAUCGGAAUUACUGGGCGUAAAGCGUGCGCAGGCGGUUUGCUAAGACCGAUGUGAAAUCCCCGGGCUCAACCUGGGAACUGCAUUGGUGACUGGCAGGCUAGAGUAUGGCAGAGGGGGGUAGAAUUCCACGUGUAGCAGUGAAAUGCGUAGAGAUGUGGAGGAAUACCGAUGGCGAAGGCAGCCCCCUGGGCCAAGUACUGACGCUCAUGCACGAAAGCGUGGGGAGCAAACAGGAUUAGAUACCCUGGUAGUCCACGCCCUAAACGAUGUCAACUAGUUGUUGGGGAUUCAUUUCCUUAGUAACGUAGCUAACGCGUGAAGUUGACCGCCUGGGGAGUACGGUCGCAAGAUUAAAACUCAAAUGAAUUGACGGGGU
RNAcentral lists this ribosomal RNA (572 nucleotides) under uncultured bacterium. RNAcentral describes it as "partial 16S ribosomal RNA". It matches the Rfam family "Bacterial small subunit ribosomal RNA", at positions 355 to 919 of the family's 1533-position model. The record is from RNAcentral.